GACACUCGCGCCUGCAGAGUUGUGGUGACAAGCAAGGUAAGCCGGGUGACUUUUGUAACCCUUUUUCCCAGCAGAGACUACUCCUGUGUGUAGAAACCACGGCCUGGCAGCGACUUCUCUAACUCAUAAAACUUGCUCUAACACACGGGGGAAAAAAGCUUCACUUAAUCCAGUAUCCUGUGUUGAUUCCUGCCUGCGACAUCUUAAUUCUUACCCACGGGCAGGAGGACUGCUCUCGGCUGUGGACAGUGAUGUGGAUUUCACAAUAUUCAAUAAUCAGACUUUUCAUGGGGGCUAUUCCAGUCAAAUAUUGAUUUAGUCAGAAAGGAGUGAUAGAAAUACAGCUCUGUAGGUUUAUUCUUGUUAAAAGUCCAAAGUAGAGUGCAGACUUUGAGAGUUCUUCUUGCAGAAAGUAUUAGCAAAAAGUAAUGUCCAGGCAGCCCCAAGUGAUACAAGACAGUUAGCUAUGAAUUUCACAAACAUCAUUAAAUGUGUGUGGAUGUAGUGCAGUACUGGAAUGAGAGAAGAUAACUAAAAUUAAGAUAAAUAGCUUAGGAACUCACAGCCAGGGAAGCCGUAAUUCACAAGUUUUCUAAGCUAGUGUUCUUAUUGCCUUUAGGAAUAGGAAGCAUUGCUUCCAAAGCUGGGUUAACCACUCUUGAAAAGCAUAAGGUACAAAGUAAUUUACUCUCUUAUUUCCAAGAUUAAAAACCCUACGAUAGUAUUGUCCUCGCCCUUAAUGCUUUCGGAGAAAACACUCAUCCUACAGAAAUACACAUUUGUCUUCGGAACUCUGAUCUCUCUCCUGUGCUGGGACUGGGGUUCACAGCAUCUCAAACCCUGUUUCUCAGGCCUUAUCUAAGGGUUAUCUAUUUCCAUGGAAACACUGAUCGACUUGAGACAUCUCCAGUGCUCAUAUUUAGCAAAGUCUGUGAAGAGUGUCGAUGUAGGGUAUCCGAUUAUUACUCAAGUGAAGCCCCUGUGUCAAAAAAUUCUAAGAAUCAUUAUCUCCUUUUGAAUACUGUUUGAAAUUUUUGAAUCCACUAUCUGGAAACUGAAAGAAUAAAAAAAAUACUGGCUCAUAAAAAUAAAUAAAAACUGUGGG
Molecule: long non-coding RNA, 1105 nt
Filed under: Mus musculus (house mouse)
Lineage: Eukaryota; Metazoa; Chordata; Mammalia; Rodentia; Muridae
Description: long non-coding RNA chr19:60144799-60145904
Source: RNAcentral